RNAcentral lists this ribosomal RNA (253 nucleotides) under uncultured bacterium. Its description in RNAcentral is "partial 16S ribosomal RNA". It matches the Rfam family "Bacterial small subunit ribosomal RNA", at positions 524 to 776 of the family's 1533-position model. The record is from RNAcentral.
UACGGAGGGUGCAAGCGUUAAUCGGAAUUACUGGGCGUAAAGGGUGCGUAGGUGGUUUGGUAAGUUAUCUGUAAAAUCCCCGGGCUCAACCUGGGCAGGUCAGAUAAUACUGCUGAACUCGAGUAUGGGAGAGGGUAGUGGAAUUUCCGGUGUAGCGGUGAAAUGCGUAGAGAUCGGAAGGAACACCAGUGGCGAAGGCGGCUACCUGGCCCAAUACUGACACUGAGGCACGAAAGCGUGGGGAGCAAACAGG